UAGUUCUAUUGGCACUGGGUUAGA
This 24-nucleotide non-coding RNA is filed under the name Cricetulus griseus (Chinese hamster). Lineage: Eukaryota; Metazoa; Chordata; Mammalia; Rodentia; Cricetidae. The record is from RNAcentral.